AACGAGGGAAUUACGAGAGAUCUACGGUGGUUUAAACAAUUAUUUUUAAUUCAACAUAUAGCAUAUUAGAGAGGGUUUAGCGAGGGAUUAGCUACGGAUCUCGCAAGUAUUUAUUGACGAACCCUUAUUUCUCACCAAUCCGUCGAAAAUGAAGACAUUUGUUUAACACCCCGACUCCUAGCCUUGAAGGUGGAUUUUGGUGAGAAAAGCACGAAGUACUAGAGCUUGGAACAAGAAGAGGCUGUGGAUCUGAGUCCUACUUCAUCUUAGCAGCGUUUUGGAAGUAACAAGUGGUGGAGUUCGUGGCUGUGAUUCGAGAGUUGAGCUUGUCACUUCAGUUUGAAAGUUGUGAGGUGAGUUCUCCUCACUAUACUAAGAAAGUCGAAGGCACCAAUGUCGGCCCUUUACGGAUUUGUAUAUGGGUUAUUACAUGAUAUGCUUAUUGAUUUAAAUCCUAAUAGUUAGGAUGGUGAUAUGCUAGUGACCUGGUUAGGUCGGUAUCCUGGUAUAUAGGAUGAUGCUAUGUUAGUGACCGGUUAGGUUUGUAUCCUGAUUAUAGGAUGUUGCUAUGAGU
Lactuca sativa (garden lettuce) is the source of this 574-nucleotide non-coding RNA. The record is from RefSeq and is a predicted model, not a curated record. Lineage: Eukaryota; Viridiplantae; Streptophyta; Magnoliopsida; Asterales; Asteraceae.